This 277-nucleotide long non-coding RNA is filed under the name Lathyrus oleraceus (garden pea). Its description in RNAcentral is "Pisum sativum (pea) long non-coding RNA (PSAT_LNC036248)". The record is from RNAcentral. Lineage: Eukaryota; Viridiplantae; Streptophyta; Magnoliopsida; Fabales; Fabaceae.
AAUGACUUGACACAAGAUCAAGCAUUGAUGGACGUUUAAGAGAAAUAUUUGAAUGAGUGUUUGAGAGAAAACAAAGUAGAUAAAUUUGGAUGAUGGCGUGAACUAGGAUGAGCGAGACAUCCGUCUCGAAUCCUAGUCUCAGGAGUGCGCGGUAUACACCACGUUCCAUUUCCAUCUUUAUUGAAAAGGUCUUGAAUAUGAACUAAUAUUUUUUUUUGAUUUUUUGAUUAUGAAAAAUGGCUUGACGUUGGAUCAGGCGUUUGAUGUAGGUUUGAAA